AGAGUUUGAUCAUGGCUCAGAUUGAACGCUGGCGGCAUGCCUUACACAUGCAAGUCGAACGGUAACGGAUCCUUCGGGAUGCCGACGAGUGGCGAACGGGUGAGUAAUACAUCGGAACGUGCCUGGUAGUGGGGGAUAACUACUCGAAAGAGUGGCUAAUGCCGCAUGAGAUCUCAGGAUGAAAGCAGGGGACCCUCGGGCCUUGCGCUAUCAGAGCGGCCGAUGGCAGAUUAGGUAGUUGGUGGGAUAAAAGCUUACCAAGCCGACGAUCUGUAGCUGGUCUGAGAGGACGAUCAGCCACACUGGGACUGAGACACGGCCCAGACUCCUACGGGAGGCAGCAGUGGGGAAUUUUGGACAAUGGGCGCAAGCCUGAUCCAGCAAUGCCGCGUGCAGGAUGAAGGCCUUCGGGUUGUAAACUGCUUUUGUACGGAACGAAAAGCUUCGGGCUAAUACCCUGGAGUCAUGACGGUACCGUAAGAAUAAGCACCGGCUAACUUCGUGCCAGCAGCCGCGGUAAUACGAAGGGUGCAAGCGUUACUCGGAAUUACUGGGCGUAAAGCGUGCGUAGGUGGUGGUUUAAGUCUGCUGUGAAAGCCCUGGGCUCAACCUGGGAAUUGCAGUGGAUACUGGGUCACUAGAGUGUGGUAGAGGGUAGUGGAAUUCCCGGUGUAGCAGUGAAAUGCGUAGAGAUCGGGA
This 699-nucleotide ribosomal RNA is filed under the name uncultured bacterium. Its description in RNAcentral is "bacterial SSU rRNA". It matches the Rfam family "Bacterial small subunit ribosomal RNA", at positions 8 to 702 of the family's 1533-position model. The record is from RNAcentral.